Molecule: non-coding RNA, 67 nt
Organism: Diceros bicornis minor
Lineage: Eukaryota; Metazoa; Chordata; Mammalia; Perissodactyla; Rhinocerotidae
Source: the annotation of a RefSeq genome assembly
CAUUAAGAAGCUACAUAGCAUCAGCCUUUUAAGCUGAAAAUUGAGAGUCUAAAUCCCUCCUUAAUGG